Molecule: ribosomal RNA, 380 nt
Filed under: uncultured cyanobacterium
Lineage: Bacteria; Bacillati; Cyanobacteriota
Description: bacterial SSU rRNA
Rfam family: Bacterial small subunit ribosomal RNA
Source: RNAcentral
CGCAAGCCUGACGGAGCAAUACCGCGUGCGGGAGGACGGCCUUUGGGUUGUAAACCGCUUUUCUCAGGGAAGAAGUUCUGACGGUACCUGAGGAAUCAGCAUCGGCUAACUCCGUGCCAGCAGCCGCGGUAAUACGGRGGAUGCAAGCGUUAUCCGGAAUUAUUGGGCGUAAAGCGUCCGCAGGUGGUUUGUCAAGUCUGCUGUUAAAGCGUGGAGCUUAACUCCAUAUCGGCGGUGGAAACUGAUGAACUAGAGGGUGGUAGGGGUCACGGGAAUUCCCAGUGUAGCGGUGAAAUGCGUAGAUAUUGGGAAGAACACCAGCGGCGAAAGCGCGUGACUGGGCCAUUACUGACACUCAUGGACGCAAAGCUAGGGGAGCG